RNAcentral lists this ribosomal RNA (247 nucleotides) under uncultured bacterium. Its description in RNAcentral is "partial 16S ribosomal RNA". It matches the Rfam family "Bacterial small subunit ribosomal RNA", at positions 523 to 769 of the family's 1533-position model. The record is from RNAcentral.
AUACGGAGGGUGCGAGCGUUGUUCGGAAUUAUUGGGCGUAAAGCGCGUGUAGGCGGUUUGUUAAGUCUGAUGUGAAAGCCCCGGGCUCAACCUGGGAACUGCAUUUGAAACUGUCUGACUAGAGUCUUGUAGAGGGGGGUAGAAUUCCAGGUGUAGCGGUGAAAUGCGUAGAGAUCUGGAGGAAUACCGGUGGCGAAGGCGGCCCCCUGGACAAAGACUGACGCUCAGGUGCGAAAGCGUGGGGAGC